GCCGCGCAGGCCCCGGCCACACCCCGGCAGCCCGCGCCGCCCGAUCCGGAGGCCGGCACGCCCUCGGCCAUGGCUGGACCCGCCCGCGGCACCGAGGCGGCGAGCGGGCGGAGGCGCCGCACCGUCCGGCCGCCGCCGCUCCUGGGUGUUUACUUUAGAGCCCGGCGCGCGGGGGCCUAGGAGGCGCAUGGGGGCGUAGGGGACCGGCCGCGAACGUGAGCUGGGCGGGGCAGGGCCACGUGGCGGCGUGGGGCGCGGGGUCGGAGGAGGGCGGCAGAGCUCGUUUGGGGGCGGAGCUAGGGCGCGUGCGGGGCAGCCUGGGGGCCACGCGGGCCUCGGGAUGGCGUCGGGCCACGCCCUGCACCUGCUGUGCGGGUUUGGGAGGCGGCGUCCUCUCUCACAGGAUCAAACGCUCAUAGGACAGAAACACAAGUGCCGCUCUUACAAGCAAUCCAACAGGGAAACAACAAAGAAAAACCAACGGACGCACACAUUUUAAGUCAGGUCGCGGUGUUCGGUGAGCGGUGGUCGUCAAUCUGACUGCACUUCGGAAUCACUUGGGCACCUUUCAAAAACAUCACUGCCCCAGCGCCACCCCUAGAGGGUCUGAGGGCUGGCUGCUUUAAAAAGCCAUCCAGUAGGGGACAGCUGACCCCACGUCAGCCCCUCUCAAGCCAGGAACCAAGGGUAACGAUGUCUGGAGAGACUCCUUCAUAACCGGCAAGGAUGGGACGCCAACUGCGUGGGUAAGAAACAGGUUAGCAGCAGCCAGUUUCAGGCAGUGCCAGGAGACUCUGCUGGGGAAGGCAGAGAGGCCACAGUGACGGAGGACCCGCAGUGAUGGAGAAAGGAGGCCACAAGAUUCGCCUUCCGAGUGUCUGGCUCACGUUCUAGUUGAAAUUGAUGGGAACACGACAUUUACAGGCAUGUGAGUGAUGGGCAAAUCCAGCUUCACAUCAAGCACAUCUCUGCCAUUUCCUGAUCUGAAAUCCAUGAUUUGGAGCACCGCAGGGAUGCACCCCUUCUGCACAACUUGUUUUCCACCGAUCCACGGUUUUCCUUCCUACCAUUGCGCAGAGGUCACGUGAAAGGCGGGCCACAUGGUAUGUGACGGACAGUAUUAUCUACUGGGAACUCUGAGAACUUGUGGAAUAAGAAAGAACAGGCUUCAUUCAUCACUGAAUGCUUGUAGAGUAACACGUUUGAACUCUUCUGUUACAUUAAAAGUGGGAUUUUUUUUUCUGGAAGUCUGAUAGAAAACCAAGCGAAAACAAAAAUGGAAAGUGGUUUCCUUGUUUGCAAAGGAACAGUAGGAAUUUAAUAAGUCCUCUUGUUAGGCUGUCACAUAACCUCAAAAGGCACUUGUCCAAAUCAUGGUGGUGUGCAAAAUCAUAAAUCAUACCCUGAUUCAUUUAAUAACUUUCCAAGAGAACGGGCAAAGGCACAUUAAGUAAUUACUUUGGGCUUCUGGAAAUACUAUUUUAAAGGUUUUCAUGAGCAUGGAGGAAUUCAUUUUUUAAGGCAGUUUAAAAAUGGUAGCAUGAGCUGACUUUCUGACGUGACGAACCUUCAUCUUUCCUAACAGUUUACAUUAUUCUUUGGUAAAAACAUACUCUGACAGCUGCUUGGUCCUCACUGCUCUGCAUGGAAUUAUCUCAUGAUCUCCUUACCAUGAAAUGAAUUUCACUAAAGCAUCCCCAAACAAAGUCGAUGUUUGACUUAUCUUUCUGAAAGCUGCUAAAGGAUGGUAGACACCUUUCAAUGGGUUGUGCGACCCCCUCCUGCUAAUUCACAGUUGGAAUUCCCCAGCAGGGAGAGGCAAGAAGCUGCUUUAUAAAGAACAUCUGCCUGGAUGCUUUGUUACCGAACAAAGGUAAACAUCCCAAUACGUGCCAAAAGAUUGUUAAAGUCUGUUUGAUGAAAAGAAGCAUGUCUUCACCUGGGUUAAAAAACCACUAACAUUAAGACCCCAAAGAGCCAGGCCCAGACCUAAACAGUUUGUCAAGAUCAUCAUUCUCAAAUAUAAUUUUCAUGUGUCAUUGCUGUUCCAGAAGCUUAGAAGCUUGCUCAGUGCCUCUCAGCCUCAUCUACGUGCAGUUGAGCCAUCCAGGGAGAUCCAUCGCCCACCUGCCUCUGAUAAUUCCCACCCCCGGCAACCCCACCCUCGCCCAGACCGCUCAGCUGGGCAACACUUCUUAGAACCUUGACCAGGAAGCAGAUGAGCCGAGGGAAGCUGAGGUGAGAGGCCGUGGACGCAGGUGGGGAGAGCUGGAGAGGGCAGAUGUGUGAGAACCUUCUAGUCCCCAGGUGGCUCAGCGGUCCCUCCUGAAGUUGAGUCCCGCAGGAUUCCUCUGUGUUCUCCAACAAACUACCUUUACACUUGAGCUCCUUUGAGCAGAUUUCCUUGUGGCCAAUGGAUGCGUUUCUAAUACUUGUCAGGUAUUUUAUCUUCUCAGGGAGGAUUCUGGGAGGAGCAGGUCGGUCCCACACCAUCCUGGAGGUGAGCAUUUCAAAGUGUAUCACGGCUCAGCAGAGGGACGGCUAGGUUUGAGCCAUCACUCAACAAAUGUUUAUGAAGCACUUACAUGAGCUAUGCGUACUCGGGGCUGUGGAGACCUCAGGAAGGACACAUGGCGAUGGUACCUGCCCUGGUGGUACCCACAGCAAUCACUGCCCCUAACAAAGCCACAGGAGUGAAAACAGAACUACCCCCAAAUAUUCUGUGUAAGAGAACACAUUAGACAGUGGUUGAAGGUCUAGCAAGGACCUUGUCAGAGCGGGCACAUAGCUCAGGGUCCCAGGGUGGGCUCUUGGCAGGGAGCGUUGGGGAGAUACAGCCAGACCUCCGGGGCCCUCACUAAGGGGAGGGAGCAAGUCCCCACGGAGGGUGACUGAGGUCCAGCCAUGCCCAGCCGCAGACAUUGGCCCUGCUGCCACCAGAGGACAAGGCCAUGGUCUCUGAGUCCCAGCGGCCAGGGAAGAGGGCAAGGCCUGACAGGGGAUCCACGUCAGGUGGGUGUACGCCUGCAGCCCUGUGCAACUGUUUCUAGCUCUCUGCCGUUCUCAAGAGUGUCCUGGCCUAAACUGUACAUAACGUGAUCCUCCCACACACAAGCCACCUCCCUCCCCCUGUGGCCGAGGGCCAUCCUGGGGAAAGGCAGGGGAAGGAAAUGAACCUGAGAGAUAAAUCCUGUUUACCUAAGGAGACCAGGCAUGAUCUCAGAGGGCUGAAUGAAUCAUUACAUGGGCUCACUGUAGAAGAUCACACUAAAAUUUAGAUCUCUCCCCCGGUACCCUGCACACGCAGGAGAACACAGCACCCUUAGGGUCUCAGACAUGAGGCUGUAAGUCCACUCGAGUUGAAUUUUCUUGUUUGCCUCAUUUUACAGGGAGGAAAAGAAGGCUCAUAGAAACCAUGUCCAAAGCCACACAGUGUAUAAGUGGCCGCACGCACAGGGCCACAGGCUUAACCACUCUUGGGGGAGGUCUAAGUGGCAGUUUCCUCGUUUGUGAAAUGGGCCACUAUAGUAGCUACCACCGAGUGUAGCUGUGAGGCCAAAAGAAAGUGGAUAAAGCUUUGAGCAUGGAGCCUGGCACAUAGUAAGUGCUCAAUAAACUUGUGACUGUUGCCUAUGUCCAGCUGCCCUUGAAAAGGAAUUGUUAAAAUGAUUUCAGGGGGCUUCCCUGGUGGCGCGGUGGUUGAGGGUCCGCCUGCCUAUGCAGGGGACACGGGUGCGUGCCCCGGUCCGGGAAGAUCCCGCAGGCCGUGGAGCAGCUGGGCCCUUGAGCCAUGGCCGCUGAGCCUGCGCGUCCGGAGCCUGUGCUCCGC
This is a long non-coding RNA of Orcinus orca (killer whale), 3829 nucleotides long. RefSeq lists it as uncharacterized. Lineage: Eukaryota; Metazoa; Chordata; Mammalia; Artiodactyla; Delphinidae. The record is from RefSeq and is a predicted model, not a curated record. The transcript has 3 exons.